GAUGAACGCUGGCGGCGUGCCUAAUACAUGCAAGUCGAGCGGACGGACGAGAAGCUUGCUUCUCUGAUGUUAGCGGCGGACGGGUGAGUAACACGUGUAUAACCUACCUAUAAUACUGGUAUAACUUCGGGAAACCGUAGCUAAUCCCGUAUAAUAUUUUGAACCGCAUGGUUCAAAGGUGAAAUACGGUCUUGCUGUCACUUAUAGAUGGAUCCGCGCUGCAUUAGCUAGUUGUUAAGGUAACGGCCUACCAAGGCUACGAUGCAUAACCGACCUGACAGAGGGAUAGGCCACAUGGGAAGGGGGCCAGGGUCCAUACGACUGAGAGAGGCAGCAGAAGGGAAUCGGCCGCAGUGGGCGAAAGCAUGACAGAGCGACGCCGAGUGAGAUGUGGAGGCGCUCCGAGCGUAAAACUCUGUUAUGAGUGAAGAACAGAUGUGGAAGGAGAUGAGCAGAGAGUGACGGUAACUAAUCAGAAAGCCACGGCUAACUACGUG
Molecule: ribosomal RNA, 497 nt
Filed under: uncultured bacterium
Lineage: Bacteria
Description: partial 16S ribosomal RNA
Rfam family: Bacterial small subunit ribosomal RNA
Source: RNAcentral